RNAcentral lists this ribosomal RNA (506 nucleotides) under Phycisphaerales bacterium. RNAcentral describes it as "partial 23S ribosomal RNA". It matches the Rfam family "Bacterial large subunit ribosomal RNA", at positions 2433 to 2925 of the family's 2925-position model. The record is from RNAcentral. Lineage: Bacteria; Pseudomonadati; Planctomycetota; Phycisphaerae; Phycisphaerales.
GUGGAAGGGCCAUCGCUCAUCAGAUAAAAGGUACUCCGGGGAUAACAGGCUGAUCGCCUCCGAGCGUUCAUAGCGGCGAGGCGGUUUGGCACCUCGAUGUCGGCUCAUCACAUCCUGGGGCUGAAGGUGGUCCCAAGGGUUUGGCUGUUCGCCAAUUAAAGUGGUACGCGAGCUGGGUUCAGACCGGCGUGAGCCAGGUCGGUCCCUAUCUGCCGUGGGCGCAGGAAUCUUGAAGGGAUGUUUCCUUAGUACGAGAGGAUUGGGAAGCACUGACCUCUGGUGUACCAGUUGUCGCGCUAGCGGCACCGCUGGGUAGCUAAGUCGGGACAGGAUAACCGCUGAAAGCAUCUAAGCGGGAAGCCCCCCCUGAGACGAGGAUUCCAUGGACUUCGGUCCUGAAGAGCCCUGGAAGACGACCAGGUUGAUAGGCCGGGUGUGUAAGCGGCGAAAUCCGCUCAGCUAACCGGUACUAACGCUCGACGACUUGACCAUAUCAAUCAUGGGUU